This 1372-nucleotide ribosomal RNA is filed under the name uncultured bacterium. RNAcentral's name for it is "bacterial SSU rRNA". It matches the Rfam family "Bacterial small subunit ribosomal RNA", at positions 28 to 1381 of the family's 1533-position model. The record is from RNAcentral.
GAUGAACGCUGGCGGCGUGCCUAAUACAUGCAAGUCGAGCGAACGGACGAGAAGCUUGCUUCUCUGAUGUUAGCGGCGGACGGGUGAGUAACACGUGGAUAACCUACCUAUAAGACUGGGAUAACUUCGGGAAACCGGAGCUAAUACCGGAUAAUAUUUUGAACCGCAUGGUUCAAAAGUGAAAGACGGUCUUGCUGUCACUUAUAGAUGGAUCCGCGCUGCAUUAGCUAGUUGGUAAGGUAACGGCUUACCAAGGCAACGAUGCAUAGCCGACCUGAGAGGGUGAUCGGCCACACUGGAACUGAGACACGGUCCAGACUCCUACGGGAGGCAGCAGUAGGGAAUCUUCCGCAAUGGGCGAAAGCCUGACGGAGCAACGCCGCGUGAGUGAUGAAGGUCUUCGGAUCGUAAAACUCUGUUAUUAGGGAAGAACAUAUGUGUAAGUAACUGUGCACAUCUUGACGGUACCUAAUCAGAAAGCCACGGCUAACUACGUGCCAGCAGCCGCGGUAAUACGUAGGUGGCAAGCGUUAUCCGGAAUUAUUGGGCGUAAAGCGCGCGUAGGCGGUUUUUUAAGUCUGAUGUGAAAGCCCACGGCUCAACCGUGGAGGGUCAUUGGAAACUGGAAAACUUGAGUGCAGAAGAGGAAAGUGGAAUUCCAUGUGUAGCGGUGAAAUGCGCAGAGAUAUGGAGGAACACCAGUGGCGAAGGCGACUUUCUGGUCUGUAACUGACGCUGAUGUGCGAAAGCGUGGGGAUCAAACAGGAUUAGAUACCCUGGUAGUCCACGCCGUAAACGAUGAGUGCUAAGUGUUAGGGGGUUUCCGCCCCUUAGUGCUGCAGCUAACGCAUUAAGCACUCCGCCUGGGGAGUACGACCGCAAGGUUGAAACUCAAAGGAAUUGACGGGGACCCGCACAAGCGGUGGAGCAUGUGGUUUAAUUCGAAGCAACGCGAAGAACCUUACCAAAUCUUGACAUCCUUUGACAACUCUAGAGAUAGAGCUUUCCCCUUCGGGGGACAAAGUGACAGGUGGUGCAUGGUUGUCGUCAGCUCGUGUCGUGAGAUGUUGGGUUGAGUCCCGCAACGAGCGCAACCCUUAAGCUUAGUUGCCAUCAUUAAGUUGGGCACUCUAAGUUGACUGCCGGUGACAAACCGGAGGAAGGUGGGGAUGACGUCAAAUCAUCAUGCCCCUUAUGAUUUGGGCUACACACGUGCUACAAUGGACAAUACAAAGGGCAGCGAAACCGCGAGGUCAAGCAAAUCCCAUAAAGUUGUUCUCAGUUCGGAUUGUAGUCUGCAACUCGACUACAUGAAGCUGGAAUCGCUAGUAAUCGUAGAUCAGCAUGCUACGGUGAAUACGUUCCCGGGUCU